GAAGAGAGAGAGAGAAGGAGAGGUUUUUGUGCUUUUUUAAUGUCCUCUCCAUUUAGUUAGAGAUCAUUUUCAAUACAAAACCAGAGAGAGAGAGAGAAGAGAGAAGAGAAUUGAAAUGACUUGAAUUGCUUUUCCUUUGUUCUAAUUCCCUUAAAUUACCUUUUCUUUGAAUUCUCCAUUCUUUGUUUUGCAUUUCUCAAGGAUUUUGAAUUCUCAAAUCUUUAUCUGUUUUUUCUGUACACAUUUUGUAGUUUUUAGUCCGAAGAUCUUUUCUUUGAGUGAAGGAAUGUGGGCAGUGUAAUUGACAUGUAUGCUUAAGAUAUGGUGCUGAAGAAGAGACAAGAUUAUGGUUUCAAUGGCUUCCAUCUUCCCUUCAUUCCCAGGGCUCCUAGAUCAGCUAGACC
Molecule: unclassified non-coding RNA, 404 nt
Filed under: Hevea brasiliensis (rubber tree)
Lineage: Eukaryota; Viridiplantae; Streptophyta; Magnoliopsida; Malpighiales; Euphorbiaceae
Source: RNAcentral